GAUGAACGCUGGCGGCGUGCUUAACACAUGCAAGUCGAGCGAGUGAGUUCUUCGGAACGAUCUAGCGGCGGACGGGUGAGUAACACGUGGGCAACCUGCCUCAUAGAGGGGAAUAGCCUCCCGAAAGGGAGAUUAAUACCGCAUAAAAUUAUCGAGUGGCAUCACAUGAUAAUCAAAGGAGUAAUCCGCUAUGAGAUGGGCCCGCGGCGCAUUAGCCAGUUGGUGAGGUAACGGCUCACCAAGGGGACGAUGCGUAGCCGACCUGAGAGGGUGAUCGGCCACAUUGGGACUGAGACACGGCCCAGACUCCUACGGGAGGCAGCAGUGGGGAAUAUUGGACAAUGGGGGAAACCCUGAUGCAGCAACGCCGCGUGAGUGAUGAAGGUCUUCGGAUUGUAAAGCUCUGUCUUUGGGGACGAUAAUGACGGUACCCAGGGAGGAAGCCACGGCUAACUACGUGCCAGCCGCCGCCGUAA
This 476-nucleotide ribosomal RNA is filed under the name uncultured bacterium. RNAcentral's name for it is "partial 16S ribosomal RNA". It matches the Rfam family "Bacterial small subunit ribosomal RNA", at positions 28 to 523 of the family's 1533-position model. The record is from RNAcentral.